This 118-nucleotide ribosomal RNA is filed under the name Pteropus alecto (black flying fox). Lineage: Eukaryota; Metazoa; Chordata; Mammalia; Chiroptera; Pteropodidae. The record is from RNAcentral.
GUCCACGGCCACGCCACCCUGAACGUGCUCGAUCUCAUCUGAUCUCAGAAGCUAAGCAGGGUUGGGCCUGGUUAGUACUUGGAUGGGAGGCCAUCUAGGCACCUCUGUCCUAGGAACG